This 386-nucleotide ribosomal RNA is filed under the name uncultured bacterium. Its description in RNAcentral is "bacterial SSU rRNA". It matches the Rfam family "Bacterial small subunit ribosomal RNA", at positions 30 to 417 of the family's 1533-position model. The record is from RNAcentral.
AUUGAACGCUGGCGGCAUGCCUUACACAUGCAAGUCGAACGGCAGCACGGGAGCAAUCCUGGUGGCGAGUGGCGAACGGGUGAGUAAUGUAUCGGAACGUACCUUUCAGUGGGGGAUAACGUAGCGAAAGUUACGCUAAUACCGCAUAUUCUGUGUGCAGGAAAGCAGGGGAUCGCAAGACCUUGCGCUGAUUGAGCGGCCGAUAUCAGAUUAGCUAGUUGGUGAGGUAAAGGCUCACCAAGGCGACGAUCUGUAGCGGGUCUGAGAGGAUGAUCCGCCACACUGGAACUGAGACACGGUCCAGACUCCUACGGGAGGCAGCAGUGGAGAAUUUUGGACAAUGGGGCAACCCUGAUCCAGCCAUGCCGCGUGAGUGAAGAAGGCCU